RNAcentral lists this long non-coding RNA (296 nucleotides) under Brassica napus (rape). Its description in RNAcentral is "long non-coding RNA (BNAP_LNC013268)". Lineage: Eukaryota; Viridiplantae; Streptophyta; Magnoliopsida; Brassicales; Brassicaceae. The record is from RNAcentral.
GAUGCCAAUUUCAAUCUGGUUAGUAUAGUUGUUGCUUAUUUCAAAUAUCUGCAUCUUUUUUACUAUUAUGUUGAUCCUUUUUCCUUUUCCGAAGGAUACCACUACUGGUCUUGCUUUUCCAAAGCCAACAUUUUUGCUUGGACUUACAUAGGAAGAUCCCCAACUAACUGAAAAAUCUCUUCCUGAUGUGGAUAUUGGCGAUGAACCUACGGACGAGGACAAAAGGUCUUCCUCGCACCAGUUCCUGCCACAUACAAUGAUGCUUUGGUGCCCCCAUAUAGGAAAAGCAAGCGGCC